Molecule: ribosomal RNA, 1179 nt
Filed under: human gut metagenome
Description: bacterial LSU rRNA
Rfam family: Bacterial large subunit ribosomal RNA
Source: RNAcentral
GCGCCGAAAAUUUAACGGGGCUAAACUAUACACCGAAGCUUAGGAUACCGCAAGGUAUGGUAGGAGAGCGUUCUGUACGGAGUGAAGUCGUAGCGAAAGCGGCGGUGGACUGUACAGAAGUGAGAAUGCCGGAAUAAGUAGCGAGAAUUAAGUGAGAAUCUUAAUGGCCGAAAGUCUAAGGUUUUUGGAGGAAGGUUCGUCCGCUCCAAGUAAGUCGGGAGCUAAGGUCAGGCCGAAAGGCGUAGCCGAUGCACAAACGGUUGAUAUUCCGUUACCGUCUACAAUUUAAACAAAGGGACACAUACAAAGCGUUUAACCCGGGCGAUGGUUGACCCGGGCGCAAGGGACUGAAAUAAGAGUAGGGAAGUAAAUGUGGCGUAUGGCGAGAAAAGCUUUGUGAAUAGAAGUAGACGCCCGUACCGCAAACCGACACAGGUGGACAGGAAGAGAAUUCUAAGGCCAGCGGGAGAAGGGUAGUUAAGGAACUCGGCAAAUUGACUCCGUAACUUCGGAAUAAGGAGUGCUCGAAAGAGCCGCAGAGAAUAGGCCCAGGCGACUGUUUAGCAAAAACACAGGUCUCUGCCAAAUCGAAAGAUGAAGUAUAGGGGCUGACACCUGCCCGGUGCCGGAAGGUUAAGAGGAGGAGUGCAAGCUCCGAAUUGAAGCCCCGGUAAACGGCGGCCGUAACUAUAACGGUCCUAAGGUAGCGAAAUUCCUUGUCGGGUAAGUUCCGACCCGCACGAAUGGUGUAACGAUCUGGGCACUGUCUCAACUACCCACCCGGCGAAAUUGUAGUACCGGUGAAGAUGCCGGUUACCCGCGACUAGACGGAAAGACCCCAUGGAGCUUUACUGUAGCCUGAUAUUGGGUUUCGGAAAUCUAUGUACAGGAUAGGCGGGAGACUGGGAAGUAUGAGCGUCAGCUUAUACGGAGUCAUUGUUGGGAUACCGCCCUUAGGUUUCUGGAAUUCUAACCUGCGACCGUGAAUCCGGUCGGGGGACAUUGUCAGGUGGGCAGUUUGACUGGGGCGGUCGCCUCCGAAAAGGUAACGGAGGCGCUCAAAGGUUGGCUCAGCACGGACGGAAACCGUGCCUCUGAGUGUAAACGCAAAAGCCAGCCUAACUGCGAGGAUGACGGUCCGAGCAGUAACGAAAGUUGGAGUUAGUGAUCCGGCGGUAU